This 515-nucleotide ribosomal RNA is filed under the name uncultured bacterium. RNAcentral describes it as "partial 16S ribosomal RNA". It matches the Rfam family "Bacterial small subunit ribosomal RNA", at positions 28 to 523 of the family's 1533-position model. The record is from RNAcentral.
GAUGAACGCUGGCGGCGUGCCUAAUACAUGCAAGUCGAGCGAAUGGAUUAAGAGCUUGCUCUUAUGAAGUUAGCGGCGGACGGGUGAGUAACACGUGGGUAACCUGCCCAUAAGACUGGGUUAACUCCGGGAAACCGGGGCUAAUACCGGAUAACAUUUUGAACCGCAUGGUUCGAAAUUGAAAGGCGGCUUCGGCUGUCACUUAUGGAUGGACCCGCGUCGCAUUAGCUAGUUGGUGAGGUAACGGCUCACCAAGGCAACGAGGCGUAGCCGACCUGGGAGGGUCAUCGGCCACACUGGUGCUGGGAAACGGCCCAGACUCCUAGAGGGUGCAGCAGGAGGGAAUCUUCCGCAAUGGACGAAAGUCUGACGGAGCAACGCCGCGUGAGUGAUGAAGGCUUUCGGGUCGUAAAACUCUGUUGUUAGGGAAGAACAAGUGCUAGUUGAAUAAGCUGGCACCUUGACGGUACCUAACCAGAAAGCCACGGCUAACUACGUGCCAGCCGCCGCAGUAA